RNAcentral lists this ribosomal RNA (492 nucleotides) under uncultured bacterium. Its description in RNAcentral is "partial 16S ribosomal RNA". It matches the Rfam family "Bacterial small subunit ribosomal RNA", at positions 29 to 507 of the family's 1533-position model. The record is from RNAcentral.
AGUGAACGCUGGCGGUAGGCCUAGCACAUGCAAGUCGAACGGCAGCACAGUAAGAGCUUGCUCUUACGGGUGGCGAGUGGCGGACGGGUGAGGAAUACAUCGGAAUCUACUUUUUCGUGGGGGAUAACGUAGGGAAACUUACUCUAAUACCGCAUACGACCUACGGGUGAAAGCAGGGGAUCUUCGGACCUUGCGCGAUUGAAUGAGCCGAUGUCGGAUUAGCUAGUUGGCGGGGUAAAGGCCCACCAAGGCGACGAUCCGUAGCUGGUCUGAGAGGAUGAUCAGCCACAUUGGAACUGAGACACGGUCAAGAGUCCUACGGGAGGCAGCAGUGGGGAAUAUUGGACAAUGGGGGCAAGUCUGAUCCAGCCAUACCGAGUGGGUGAAGAAGGCCUUCGGGUUGUAAAGCCGUUUUGUUGGGAAAGAAAAGCAGCAGGUUAAUACCCCGCUGUUCUGACGGUACCCAAAGAAUAAGCACCGGCUAACUUCGUG